This 5252-nucleotide long non-coding RNA is filed under the name Nicotiana tabacum (common tobacco). RNAcentral's name for it is "long non-coding RNA (NTAB_LNC003567)". The record is from RNAcentral. Lineage: Eukaryota; Viridiplantae; Streptophyta; Magnoliopsida; Solanales; Solanaceae.
AUUUUGACCUCCUUUCCAAAGAGCAAGAAACGACGCAUUUGGGAGUUAAAAAAGCUUCUCCUCCAUUUCCAUCAAAAAAAUCAAGAAUAGACCCUGCUUUUCCAAGAAACCAACGGCGCACAACACCUUCCCUUCCCAAGGCUUUUUCUUCAUUUACUCCAAAACACACACACAUACACCCCAACCCUAGCGACGACUUUGAAAAACAACAAAAACAAAAGAAAAGUCCUUAAAAGAAAACAGUUGCUGAUUCCUCUUCAUUGAUGCAUAUUUUCUGGGGAUUCUAGAAAGCCAUUUUAAGUUCGAAUGAUGUUCAUCGCUGCUUUUGUUGACUGGUUUUUCUUGCUAAUCUCAAAAUCCCUUUCCUCCAGCUUUUAUUUGGCGUCUUCUAUCUAUUCUCGCAAAACUAGCUUAGGUAUGUUCUGAGCUCAUGUGUAACUGUUAACUGAUUUGCUGAAUAAAUAUAGGCUAAUAAAUGUCAUUGGCUGAAUGGUUUGAAUGUUUUAAAAUGUUUGUUCAAUCUAUGAUGUUUAAAGUAUUUUCUUCUUCUGCUACUUUUAUUUCAAUUUGAAAAUUAGGUGAUGAAUUACUGUUUAGUUUAUGUAGAGUACAUAUAUUGAAGGUGAAAGAUUAUUGUUCUUCUUCAUCCGUGUCUUGACAUUAAAUAUUUGAAGUGGUUCAUUGGAAAUACCUAUUUCCGAUGCAUUAAAAAGAUUCGCUUAUUGUUUAAAUAUAUAAAGUUUAUGUGCUAAAGAUUUUGUGAAUUUUUAGGCACCUUUCUCCAAGGAUAAGUCUUUGAAUAUUAUGUGCUUUUAAAUGUAAUAAUAGGCACCUUUGUAUUGAGGUCAUGGUCAGUUCUUGAAAAUAUUAGCUCUUCACAAUGAACAUUUGUCUAAUAAAUGAAGCGAUACUUCAAUGUGAUUGGUUAUGGUAAUUGGUUAACAUAUUGCAUUUAUUAAUAUUUGGCAACUUAAUAUAUAAUUAGCGUCAGUUUAUAUGUCGGCGUGAAUAGAGCUGGAUAAAUACAGAGGACUUGUAUAGAAGACCUCAGUUAGUUUUGGGAUUGAGGCCUGGUUGAUUGAUUAAUUAAUUACAGUUUAAAUGUCAAGUUAUGGGAAGUAACUUGUCUUUUAGUCUACCUUUAUAAGGAAGGCCCUUCUUUUGCUAUGAACUAAAAUCACAAGCAAUUAGCUACGUUGGUUGCACAUUUUUGUAAUUGUACUGGAUUUUGAUUCUUUUAGGCAACAUAGAUAUACAAGUAUUUUUGUUAGAUGUUGAUCUAAGCCCGUGUUACUCACAAUUUGAGAUUGUUGAAAAGUUGAAAUUUGAUAACCAUGUUAUUCACAAGUUAUAGUUAUCUUAACUUGCUUCCUGCUUUUAGUCAUGCAUUCAAUGUUUUGUCUGAGCACUUUGUUUGUGGACUUUUAACUGAUUAUUGUAUGCGUUCAUCGGGAUUGUGUACAUGUUCGUGUGACAUGAUUAUGAUCCUAAUAACAAAAUCGAGGUAUGCGUUCGCGCAACUUCUACCAAACUUUCUUAAUACUAAUAAAGCGUGAUUAGUUGUAGAUACGUACGCGUGACAUGAUUCUUGACGUGCCAAAUGAAAUGAGUACACGUACGCGUGACUCCUUUUAAGAUAAUUUCAAAACUACGAUUAAUUAAGCAACUAAAAGCGGUUAGAGGAAUAAAUGCACAUAGGUCCUAAAAUGAGUAGUUAAAUAAUUUAAGCCAAGUAUAAAUCGCUAAGCGACCGUGCUAGAACCACGGAACCCUGGAAUGCCUAACACCUUCUUCCGGAUUAACAGAAUUCCUUACUUAGAAUUUCUGAUUCGCAGACUUUUAAAUAAAGUCGAAAAUUUCCUCGAUUUGGGAUUUAAAAACAAACCGGUUAUUUGGGACACCAAAAAAUAAACUAUUCCAAGUGGCGACUCUGAAAAAUAAAUAAAAUAAUUCCAUUUCGAAUAAUGUCAUUUUAAUUAGAAAAACUCCGUUAAAUCCACGAGUGGAUAUAUAUCUUGGAAAUCAUUCAAACAAACGUGCAUCGUCUUUUUUACAAUGGAAUUUGAAUUUAUAGCUUCAGACAAGGCUGGUGAAGAAGCUGAAAGACUCCAGAAUUUCUUGGAAGAUAUUCUAUUUUGGCCCAAACCUUGGCACCUAUAUGUAUACGUUGUGAUAGUCAAGUGGCAAUAGGCAGGGCAGGGAGCGUUAUGUAUAACGAAAAAUCUCGUCACAUACGACAGAGACACAAUACCGUUAGAUAACUACUCUCUAGUGGUGUUAUCACGAUUGACUACGUAAAGUCAAGAGAUAACGUGUCAGAUCCACUUACAAAAGGCCUAUCUAGAGAGGCAGUUGAAAGGUCAUCGAAGGGAAUAAGGUUAUGGCCUAGGACAAGUCAUCAUGGCGGUAACUCUACCUAGCAGACUGGACAUCCCAAGAGCUAGGUUCAAAGAGAUUAAACAAAGUUAUGAAUGAUGGUUCAACAUUGUCAAAUAACUCAACUCAUUCUCGUGAUGAAGACAAUGUUGAGAAAUUAGGGUAAAACAUUAAGGCUUUUUGAUGAAUCAAUAAAGCUUAAAGCUUUUUAAUGAUUUACGAAGUCUGGAAGGAAAUGACCAGAUAAUAUGUCCAUAGGAUUACACGUUUAGAAAUUACCAAUGUGAGUGUGAAGUGUAAGCCGUUUCAAGGGGAAUGAAAGUAAAGGCCCAUUUUCUAAGCACUCAUGAAACCAGGUGGUGUUCAUAGCUCACAACCGUGAGAACCAUAGAUGGUUAAGAGUUAAUUGUGUGACUUAUGUUGUCUAGGUAUACAACAAAGCUCAAUGAUUCAAAGAUAUCAAAUCUACCGAUUGACCGAGUAUAUCCGAUAUAAGUUCACUACGAAAAGUUCAAGAGAAACCUACUUUUCUAGAUGCAAUUAAUUCUUGCAUGUAAAUCACACACUCGUCUGUGCAUUCCUUUGUCUUAUAGCCAUUUCCCAUUCAUGUGGGGGAUUGUUAAGAUUAAAAGAUUGGUGAAUGGGAAAUAGAGAGAAGAAAAUGGAGGAAAAGUGAGCUCCCUUUUGCUUUGGAAAGAGCAAGUGUCCCUCAUUGGUGGUAGAAAAAAAAAGUGAAUGUGCUUAUAUUGAGAAAGCACUUCUCUUGGUGUUAAAUGGGUUGGAAAGAAAGUAUGCCUCGCGCCGUCAUCGUCGCUCGCUCGUUCGGAUCGGCUUCGGCUUCGGCUUCUGCACAAUUAAAAUUCCAGUGUGGUUUACAGCCUUCGAGUGGUUCGUUGUUUCAUUGGCUUUUUUUGGUACCAACACUCUUGUGAGUUAAAUCGUUCAAUUCUGGGACAAUAAUAUUCCAGCACCUUGGAUACUUGAGGGGAAUAAUUUUCUUAAGGACACAAUAUGCAUUCAGUGGGCUCGACUUAUUUAUUUUUCAAAUAUUAUUUCGACAUUCUGUUGCUGCUAACUUUCUGUGUUUGUUUUAUGUUUCAGAAAGUUUACUGUUUCAUUAUUUAUAGUAAUACAGAUUGAAUAACAAAAGUUUGGACUAAUCUCGAUGGAAAAAAACUAAUUUUAAAAUUAAUUUAGAAGUUAAGUCAUUUUCUUACUCUCCCUCUGCCUGAUACAACAAGUAAAAGAAAAAAAAAGAAAAAUGAAAUUAUGUGAUAAAGUAUUAUUCAAUAAUCUUAAUUCUGAAUUCUGAUUUAUCUGGGUAAGGAAAAAACCAGAAUUAGAACAUAUAACAUAUAAAAAGUUAGAAUGAUUUUUUGGACGAUGGUCACCUAAUUAAGGAAUAUUUUGCUUUUUAAUUGUUCGAGCGCAAUUUAGCGGUGUUGGUUUUUAUUACGAAGAUAGAAUUUUUACAAAGCUUUUAUCUUUAUUCAUACUUAGCCACAAGUAAUUUAUACUUAUAAUCUCGUAUAUUUCACUUUUCCUGCCUCAUCUUUUUGCAGAAAAUCACUCUACGGAGGGGAUGAUGUAUGACAAACUGAUGUUAAAACCAUACUAAUAACUUAGAACAGUAAAUCCAUUUAAAAGUUUGUUACGAUCAUAAGAAAAUGGGAGCUGAUAAGUAGUCACGUGAGAUGCACGUGUGCAUAAGUUAGUUAGAUAGUUAAAUUUCCGGAAGUUAGUUAUAGUUUGUUAUAAGUUAGUUACAACUGAAUUUCUCUCUUAUAUGCUGAAAUCACAACAAUUGUAAUGCUUAUUCAAUUGUAUUAGAUUCUCAAUGAAAUAUCUCUCAUUUUCUCUCUAAAUUCUCGAAAUCAUUUCUCUUGCUAAGUCAUAUGUUCAAAAGCAAUUCUCUUCAUUUGCUCUCUAGGAUACUUAGAUUUCCUUUAAUUUCGUUAGCUAGUAUCAAGGUUGCAAUUAACUCAGGACCAACUAACAUAGAUCUUAGUUUGGGGCGACCAUCAUACCUUCACUAUGUCAGAAGAUAGGCGCAAUUUAAUUUAAUUAACGCUAAUCUCCAUUUCUUAAAUGAUCAUAUGCUAAUUGAACAGGACAAAACUCCAAACUCUAUCCCACGUGCGACCCUAUUUGCCACCUACUACACUAAAGCAAAUAAAAGCCCAUCGGAAACAAAGACAGCCGGUUCAGUAUUAGGAUAUUAUGAUGUUAACAAAAAUCAAAAGUUCCAAAGUCUAAAGCAUACUCCACUUAAUUUGUCUCAAUGUCAAUCGGGGUUCUCUUUAACAGCUAGUGGCCCCCAAAAGUCUGAAACCCCACAUGCCUUGGUCGCAAUCUAGAGAUUCUUUAGUCUAUGUUUUUGUACGGCGCAAAUUCCUAACCUUUUCAGGGACAUUUUCGUAAAUAUAAUAUCCGUGCGCGGCGAUAUUAUCCGCUUUAACGAAUCAACUAAUCGUCCCCACAAAGUACUCAACAACUUGCUUCCCACUAAUCUCCACCAAAUUCCAAUAUUACCCCUCCUCUCUUACUGUACCCUUCUUGACUCCCUCCAUCUCUUUCUCCUAAUAAACCAAGCUCUGCAUAUUUUAUCCUCCAUCUUUAUCACUCUUUUUCUCAAAGCUUACACCUUUUUCCUUUGUGUUGCUAGAUUCAACCGAAAAAUGAGCCGUUUCAGGAGAUUUGACCUUAUUGAGUACUCUCCUUCUCCUUCUUUCUUCCUUAAAGAAUCCUCAUUUCUCAGCCCCAAAACCCUACUUCUAAACCCCUCAUUCCACAUUGAAGAUGAGCUUGACACCACUCUCGAUCUCCUUUGCCCUAACACUUUCACACCCACUACACUUCUCGAUCUCGCCUCCCCC